CGGCAACAGCUCAAAUUUGAAAUCUGGCUCUCGGGCCCGAGUUGUAAUUUGUAGAGGAUACUUUUGAUGCGGUGCCUUCCGAGUUCCCUGGAACGGGACGCCAUAGAGGGUGAGAG
Molecule: ribosomal RNA, 116 nt
Filed under: Fusarium sp.
Lineage: Eukaryota; Fungi; Ascomycota; Sordariomycetes; Hypocreales; Nectriaceae
Description: partial large subunit ribosomal RNA
Source: RNAcentral